RNAcentral lists this ribosomal RNA (253 nucleotides) under uncultured bacterium. Its description in RNAcentral is "partial 16S ribosomal RNA". It matches the Rfam family "Bacterial small subunit ribosomal RNA", at positions 524 to 776 of the family's 1533-position model. The record is from RNAcentral.
UACGUAGGGGGCAAGCGUUGUCCGGAUUCAUUGGGCGUAAAGAGCGUGUAGGCGGCCAGGUAGGUCGGUUGUGAAAACUGGAGGCUCAACCUUCAGAGGUCGACCGAAACCAUCUGGCUAGAGUCCGGGAGAGGAGAGUGGAAUUCCUGGUGUAGCGGUGAAAUGCGCAGAUAUCGGGAGGAACACCAAUGGCGAAGGCAGCUCGCUGGGACGUUACUGACGCUGAGACGCGAAAGCGUGGGGAGCAAACAGG